Molecule: transfer RNA, 71 nt
Filed under: Pseudomys chapmani (western pebble-mound mouse)
Lineage: Eukaryota; Metazoa; Chordata; Mammalia; Rodentia; Muridae
Description: tRNA-Gln
Rfam family: tRNA
About the family: Transfer RNA (tRNA) molecules are approximately 80 nucleotides in length.
Source: RNAcentral
UAGAACGUGGUGUCUUGGUAGCACGAAGAAUUUUGGAUUCUUAGGAGUAGGUUCAAGUCCUAUUGUUCUAG